Long non-coding RNA from Xenia sp. Carnegie-2017, 319 nucleotides. RefSeq lists it as uncharacterized. The record is from RefSeq and is a predicted model, not a curated record. NCBI's taxonomy places the organism in Eukaryota, Metazoa, Cnidaria, Anthozoa, Malacalcyonacea, Xeniidae. The transcript has 2 exons.
AUAAAGUAUCCGACUCUACAUGGUUAGGUUGCUUAAGAUUUUUACGAAACGUUCGCCAGCAUUGGCAUGAUAAACCUCGUCCACAACUGUCAUCAUGUGUUAAAGAUGGAAACUAUCAAGAGUGUUUUCUUCAACUUUUUGAGGAACUGCCUUAUCUAGUUCACAGAGCCAUAAGAUUGAGUGACUGGAAGGCAAGACCUGAUCUAGAGAAACAUUUUCCAAACAGUGAACAUCCUGUAAAACUUGAAGAAGGCAAGGGAAAGAAAAGCGAAGGUGUUAUUGACUACGCUGAACUUAACGGUAAAUAGCUAUGUAACAA